RNAcentral lists this ribosomal RNA (253 nucleotides) under uncultured bacterium. RNAcentral's name for it is "partial 16S ribosomal RNA". It matches the Rfam family "Bacterial small subunit ribosomal RNA", at positions 524 to 776 of the family's 1533-position model. The record is from RNAcentral.
GACGUAGGGCGCGAGCGUUGUCCGGAUUUAUUGGGCGUAAAGAGCUCGUAGGCGGCUUGUCGCGUCGUCCGUGAAAACCUGCGGCUCAACUGCAGGCUGGCGGUCGAUACGGGCAGGCUGGAGUUCGGUAGGGGAGACUGGAAUUCCUGGUGUAGCGGUGAAAUGCGCAGAUAUCAGGAGGAACACCGGUGGCGAAGGCGGCAUCCUGGACCGACACUGACGCUGAGGAGCGAAAGCCAGGGGAGCAAACGGG